AUUGAACGCUGGCGGCAUGCCUUACACAUGCAAGUCGAACGGCAGCACGGGAGCAAUCCUGGUGGCGAGUGGCGAACGGGUGAGUAAUAUAUCGGAACGUGCCCGGUCGUGGGGAUAACGUAGCGAAAGCUACGCUAAUACCGCAUACGAUCUACGGAUGAAAGCGGGGGAUCGCAAGACCUCGCGCGAUUGGAGCGGCCGAUAUCAGAUUAGGUAGUUGGUGAGGUAAAGGCUCACCAAGCCGACGAUCUGUAGCUGGUCUGAGAGGACGACCAGCCACACUGGGACUGAGACACGGCCCAGACUCCUACGGGAGGCAGCAGUGGGGAAUUUUUGGGACAAUGGGCGCAAGCCUGAUCCAGCAAUGCCGCGUGCAGGAUGAAGGCCUUCGGUU
This 394-nucleotide ribosomal RNA is filed under the name uncultured bacterium. RNAcentral's name for it is "bacterial SSU rRNA". It matches the Rfam family "Bacterial small subunit ribosomal RNA", at positions 30 to 423 of the family's 1533-position model. The record is from RNAcentral.